Molecule: ribosomal RNA, 293 nt
Filed under: uncultured bacterium
Lineage: Bacteria
Description: partial 16S ribosomal RNA
Rfam family: Bacterial small subunit ribosomal RNA
Source: RNAcentral
GUGCCAGCAGCCGCGGUAACACGUAGGGGGCGAGCGUUGUCCGGAUUUAUUGGGCGUAAAGAGCUCGUAGGUGGCUUAGUAAGUCGGGUGUGAAACCUCCAGGCUCAACCUGGAGACGCCACCCGAUACUGCUAUAGCUUGAGUCCGGUAGGGGAGCGUGGAAUUCCUGGUGUAGCGGUGAAAUGCGCAGAUAUCAGGAGGAACACCAGCGGCGAAGGCGGCGCUCUGGGCCGGUACUGACACUGAGGAGCGAAAGCGUGGGGAGCAAACAGGAUUAGAUACCCUGGUAGUCC